GGAGGAUAACUGCUACCCUGUUAACAGUAAUAAGUGGCAGCAUCUUCAGACUCCAUGCUGCUGAUGCUGAGAAAAUAAUCUGUCCCAGAUCC
Dipodomys spectabilis (banner-tailed kangaroo rat) is the source of this 92-nucleotide long non-coding RNA. RefSeq lists it as uncharacterized. The transcript has 3 exons. The record is from RefSeq and is a predicted model, not a curated record. Lineage: Eukaryota; Metazoa; Chordata; Mammalia; Rodentia; Heteromyidae.